GGCAGUUUUCGGGUGAUGCACCCCGGAACCAGAGAGGAGGGAGCCCAGUUCCAGGGUAUGUCACCUGAGAACUGCC
Molecule: non-coding RNA, 76 nt
Organism: Myotis davidii
Lineage: Eukaryota; Metazoa; Chordata; Mammalia; Chiroptera; Vespertilionidae
Source: Rfam